UACGAAGGGAGCUAGCGUUAUUCGGAAUCACUGGGCGUAAAGCGCACGUAGGCGGAUGUGUCAGUCAGGGGUGAAAUCCCGGGGCUCAACCUCGGAACUGCCUCUGAUACAGCACGUCUCGAGUCCGGAAGAGGUGGGUGGAAUUCCUAGUGUAGAGGUGAAAUUCGUAGAUAUUAGGAAGAACACCGGUGGCGAAGGCGGCCCACUGGUCCGGUACUGACGCUGAGGUGCGAAAGCGUGGGGAGCAAACAGG
This 253-nucleotide ribosomal RNA is filed under the name uncultured bacterium. Its description in RNAcentral is "partial 16S ribosomal RNA". It matches the Rfam family "Bacterial small subunit ribosomal RNA", at positions 524 to 776 of the family's 1533-position model. The record is from RNAcentral.